This 200-nucleotide unclassified non-coding RNA is filed under the name Trechispora sp. RNAcentral describes it as "partial internal transcribed spacer 2". Lineage: Eukaryota; Fungi; Basidiomycota; Agaricomycetes; Trechisporales; Hydnodontaceae. The record is from RNAcentral.
UUAAGUUCAGCGGGUAGUCCUACCUGAUUUGAGGUCAGAUUUCAAAUUACAUUGACUGCCGCUCCACAGGCGAGUCGUGGGAGGACGCUAAUAGGGGAACUUCUCGGUCGAGCGAGGAUGGUACAACGCCCAGUCGAGUCCGACCCGCAGGUCCAACCGAUGCAUUUGAGGGGAGCCGCCUCACGGCCAGCAGGCCCCCA